UAAGAGAGAGAGAGAGAGAGAGAGAGAGAGAGAGAGAGAGAGAGAGAGAGUGUGGGUGGCAGGAGAAGGGUGAAGGUUAUGACGCAGGUGCACGUGUGUUGCUACAUGUAUUUGAUUAUUCCCUUCCUGCAUGCUCGUCUAGGUCUAAAAUAAUUGUCCAUGCAGCUGUCACUGCAGCACGGGAACACCUGUGGAGCGAGUUUUCCAGGUGUUGAGCACCCUGAACACUGCAAAGCCAGCUAUAGCCUCAAGCCCGCGCGUAGGUAGUGCAUAUACCUACGCUUCCCGUUGCCACAUCUGCACGGUGACCUUCACGGCGAAUUGCAGCUCUACCAGUCAACGAUAUUUAUACAGAUAGACAUACGAGAAUAAAAAAAUAAAUAAAAAAAAUGGGAGGCAGCGACCUGACUGUAAGCAUCCUCCUGUUGGCAUGCUUCCUGCUGGCCUUCACUCCACUCCCCUGUCAGGCAAGGAUGGUGAGCUUCGAGGUGGCCGGGUUCAGCGUCACGCCCGAGCUGGUUGAUGGAGAAAGCACCGAAGCAGCCAUUCAGGGCUUCCCACUUACAAACAAGUGGCGACAUCCACCUGUCAUACGAGUGGUCCAAGCUGGCGUGAUCCAAGGCAGCGCUUUUGACGCAGAGGUGACUGAAUUUGAGACUUUAAUCCCUGAAGAAGACAAAUAGACGAUCAGAGUAGAGAAUGUUGAGCCUGCAUGAUGAAGACACCCAGCUGAGAAUAUCGCGCAAGGUCUCGAUGUAUCCAGUGAACCUUGGCGGCACCAGACAACUGACAGACCGCGAGGGCACGCCCACACUGCUUUCAGAAAUAACAAACUGCUUGUAAACACAAAUAAAUGUAUUAUUCAAAUGGAAAUAAAUUAUGGUUGAGCCAA
Long non-coding RNA from Eriocheir sinensis (Chinese mitten crab), 892 nucleotides. RefSeq lists it as uncharacterized. The transcript is spliced from 4 exons. The record is from RefSeq and is a predicted model, not a curated record. NCBI's taxonomy places the organism in Eukaryota, Metazoa, Arthropoda, Malacostraca, Decapoda, Varunidae.